This 73-nucleotide transfer RNA is filed under the name Camelus bactrianus (Bactrian camel). It matches the Rfam family "tRNA". Rfam says of the family: Transfer RNA (tRNA) molecules are approximately 80 nucleotides in length. Their secondary structure includes four short double-helical elements and three loops (D, anti-codon, and T loops). Further hydrogen bonds mediate the characteristic L-shaped molecular structure. tRNAs have two regions of fundamental functional importance: the anti-codon, which is responsible for specific mRNA codon recognition, and the 3' end, to which the tRNAs corresponding amino acid is attached (by aminoacyl-tRNA synthetases). tRNAs cope with the degeneracy of the genetic code in two manners: having more than one tRNA (with a specific anti-codon) for a particular amino acid; and 'wobble' base-pairing, i.e. permitting non-standard base-pairing at the 3rd anti-codon position. RNAcentral also lists the same sequence under 1 other name. The record is from Rfam by way of RNAcentral. Lineage: Eukaryota; Metazoa; Chordata; Mammalia; Artiodactyla; Camelidae.
GCCCGGCUAGCUCAGUUGGUAGAGCAUGAGACCCUUAAUCUCAGGGUCGUGGGUUCAAGCCCCACGUUGGGCA